This is a long non-coding RNA of Cimex lectularius (bed bug), 1224 nucleotides long. RefSeq lists it as uncharacterized. Lineage: Eukaryota; Metazoa; Arthropoda; Insecta; Hemiptera; Cimicidae. The transcript has 4 exons. The record is from RefSeq and is a predicted model, not a curated record.
UGGUUUGGAAACGUUUGGGACUUUGCUCAGAUUUUUUAGCAGUUUAUCUCUUGGAUUGGAUUUCAAAAUGUGAUUGUGCUGUUGUCGAGAGUUUGCUAGUAGCAGUGGGCCAAUAUGUAGGAUCAGGGGGAAAUAUGUAGUUGACGGGCGGAGAGGACACUGUGUAAGACACGACCUUGUGGAUUAGCUACCCUGCAGCCCCACUGAGGGUGCUUUGCAUUGUAAUCACCACCGGACAGGACACGCGGGCCAAUGUACUGGAAAAAGAUAGAAACUGUUGGUGCGAAAUGCCAUGAUUUGGUGGGCAGUAUACAGCUGCUAUAGUAAAGUUGAAGGGUGAGGAGAACAAUUUAAUGGCUGUGCAUUGUAAAGAUACAGAUGAUUGACUAGGAAUUAGAUAAUGGUUUAAGGUGUUGCGAAUUAAGAUAGAGGUACCUCCACAAGCAAUACCCAUGGGAUGAAGUAUUUCCAGUUCGUUGAAGCGGGAGUUCAAGCCGUUUGCAUUCCAUAGGUGGGCAAUCCCAUAGGAUUCCAUAGCAGCCAGUGAGUUUUAUUGUACGCGGUCCCAUCGUGGGUGCGAGGAUUACGAGCAGCAAACUGGACAACACUCCUAAGUGCGCAGAGGUCGGCUUUAUUGGCUAUAACGCAAACUACCGGACUACCUCAACUGGUGGGAAGGCCACCGCUUGACCUACAGGCAAAGGCUUUGGCCGCCGCCUGGAAACUGGCAAAUGGGUAUCAGCCAUGUAUCCCAGUGACGAACGAACAAAACACGAUUGAUGGCAGCGACGAUGGGAUACGUCGGUAAAAGAAAUAUUUUGACGUCCGUCACGAUCCCCCGUGCAACUUUUCUCCUGCCUAAGGGGUAUAAAUAUUUCAGAGUUGUGACUGAGUAGUCAGAAUCUUGCCGAACCAGUAUUCAAAAAAUGACGUUCAAUGCUUUAUUCUUGGUGGUCGUUUUGUGCAUUGUGGGAGGCAACUGUGCUCCUUUCCUCGGAUUGUCACUCCUAGAUCUUCCAGGCCCUGGACAGGGUGGACUCAACGCUGCUCCAUCACUUGGAGUCAACGACGUUCUCUCCCCCAACCUCCUCAGCAAUUCAUUGUUUUCUCCUAGUUCAGCAUUCACCGGAACUUUAACCAACUUUUGAAUCACUCAUUUUUAAUCAAAAAUAUCUAAAAUAAACAAACUGCACAUAAAAUGUUUUCAAAUAUAAAGUUUAAAAU